UGGUGGAGCAAUUUGUCUGGUUUAUUCCGAUAACGAACGAGACUCUGACCUACUAAAUAGUGGGCGGAUUCUGUCUGUCCGCAACACUUCUUAGAGGGACAAGCGGUGUUCAGCCGCACGAGAUUGAGCAAUAACA
Molecule: ribosomal RNA, 136 nt
Filed under: uncultured eukaryote
Lineage: Eukaryota
Description: partial 18S ribosomal RNA
Rfam family: Eukaryotic small subunit ribosomal RNA
Source: RNAcentral